This 654-nucleotide ribosomal RNA is filed under the name Salinibacterium sp. NK8237. RNAcentral's name for it is "partial 23S ribosomal RNA". It matches the Rfam family "Bacterial large subunit ribosomal RNA", at positions 1200 to 1837 of the family's 2925-position model. The record is from RNAcentral. Lineage: Bacteria; Bacillati; Actinomycetota; Actinomycetes; Micrococcales; Microbacteriaceae.
CUGCGGAUUUGAAUUUGUUUUCAAGUGGUAGGGGAGCGUUGUGUAAGCCUGUGAAGGUGUGUCGUAAGGCAUGCUGGAGGUAUCACAAGAGCGAAUGCUGACGUGAGUAACGAUAAUGCGAGUGAAAAGCUCGCACGCCGGAAGAUCAAGGGUUCCAGUCCAACGUUAAUCGGGGCUGGGUGAGUCGACCCCUAAGGCGAGGCCGAAAGGCGUAGUCGAUGGGAAAUCAGUUAAUAUUCUGAUACUUGUUUAUAAUGCGAUGGAGGGACGGAGAAGGUUAUGUCAGCCUGGCGUUGGUUGUCCAGGUGAAAGGAUGUAGGCUUGUGGCUUAGGUAAAUCCGGGCUACUACAUGGCUGAGAUCUGAUAGCAAGCUGUACUUGUACAGCGAAGUGGCAAAUACCAUGCUUCCAGGAAAAGCUUCUAAGCAAUAGUUAUAAACGAAUCGUACCCUAAACCGACACAGGUGAUCAGGUAGAGAAUACCAAGGCGCUUGAGAGAACUCUGCUGAAGGAACUAGGCAAAAUGGUACCGUAACUUCGGGAGAAGGUACGCUGUUGAUGGUGAUAGGACUUGCUCCUUGAGCUGUUGACAGUCGCAGAUACCAGGCUGCUGCAACUGUUUAUUAAAAACACAGCACUCUGCAAACACGAAAG